GUAGGGAAUAUUGGGCAAUGGAGGCAACUCUGACCCAGCCAUGCCGCGUGCAGGAUGACGGCCCUCUGGGUUGUAAACUGCUUUUAUACGGGAAGAAAAAAUACUACGUGUAGUAUACUGACGGUACCGUAAGAAUAAGGAUCGGCUAACUCCGUGCCAGCAGCCGCGGUAAUACGGAGGAUCCCAGCGUUGUCCGGAUUUAUUGGGUUUAAAGGGUGCGUAGGCGGAUCUUUAAGUCAGUGGUGAAAGCCUGCAGCUUGACUGUAGAAUUGCCAUUGAAACUGAAGAUCUGGAAUGUGGUUAAAGUAGGCGGAAUGUAUCAUGUAGCGGUGAAAUGCUUAGAUAUGAUACAGAACACCGAUAGCGAAGGCAGCUUGCUGAACCAUUAUUGACGCUGAGGCACGAAAGCGUGGGGAGCGAACAGGAUUAGAAACCCUGGUAGUCC
This 445-nucleotide ribosomal RNA is filed under the name uncultured bacterium. Its description in RNAcentral is "bacterial SSU rRNA". It matches the Rfam family "Bacterial small subunit ribosomal RNA", at positions 354 to 796 of the family's 1533-position model. The record is from RNAcentral.